Molecule: RNA transcript, 1206 nt
Organism: Corylus avellana
Lineage: Eukaryota; Viridiplantae; Streptophyta; Magnoliopsida; Fagales; Betulaceae
Source: RefSeq, a predicted model, not a curated record
CCUCUGACCUCACCACAUUACCAUGUCGCAGGUCAUUUUGUUGUUUCCAAAUAUUGUACAACACAGCACCAAGCGCCAAUUUACAAAGAAUUUACUCUCAGAUUUUUCCCUUUUAUCACCUUAAUUCCAUCACUCCAAAACAUCAUCCCAUGCCACAAGGUGCGGCAGCUUUCAUGCGGCUACCCAGAAUCUCACACCAAAUCCUUUUGCUGUAGCUGCUGAACGAAAAUGUGGUCCCUGCUUUCAAUACUAGCUCUGCAAAAAGCUCAGGAUGCACUGACAAACUCACUGGUUUGUCUUUUCUUGAGCCACGUACUUGAGGAUUCCGUUUCUGUUUCUGGAACAUCAGAGUCUGAUUCAAGGCAAGAUGACAAGGAUUGAAGAUCUCAAUCUUGUAACCGGAAUGACUCCAUGGGUGAUGACAGCUCCCAUUAGCAAAGACACUUUCAUGCAUCCUUUUUCAUUUCUUUUCUCCUUGAUUCUGAAGAGUUGUUGGCUAUCCUUGCAAUGCUAUCAAGCCAGCAGAAGGGCAUUGAAGAAAUGGGAGAACUUGGAGCAGUUCCUUGGUUGCUUAGCAUUAUUAGAGAGAGCAUUUCUAGACGUAACAACAAGAAUUGCAUUGCAACCCUCCAAACCAUCUGUUUUAAUGUGGCCUCUCGGGCCUUCUGUGUAGUCAUUCUCAAUUACCUUUUUGUAUAUUCUCGUUUGGUCUAGAUUCAAUUUCAGCUUCAUUAGUUAAUUGCUGUGAUUCUGGGAAUAAAAUGAAAGGAAGCUUUAUUAAAAAAAUUGUAUCUUCUUUUGUUUUCUUUUGCUUUUUCUGGUGAUUGGGAAUGGUCCAAUGCAUACAAGCUUGGAUUUUAUUGACAGCAACAAAACGUUGGAUCCUUUGGCCCGAUCCCUCUUUCUGACAAAUCCCACUCCUUUGAGACUUCAUGCUGCAGUACGUGGUUGCUGGAGUCCAAGAACUCAUGUUCUACCACCAAGACCUAAGAGAGACCAAAACUGUGAAGAUCAAUGGGGACACAUAAACGAAGGCGGAAGGGAAGUGGGGCUUGUGAUGAUGAUGAGAGAGAGAGAGAGACAGUGAUGAAAAUGGGAAAGCCAGAAAACAUGGCAUGUUGGGGCCUCUUUGUGCUCUUGUCUCUGUUUCUUUCUUUCUUUGUUUUUUGUGGGUCAGAUUGUGUAUAAUUUGCAUGCUAUGGUUGG